GACGAACGCUGGCGGCGUGCCUAACACAUGCAAGUCGAACGGAGUUAAGACUUCGGUUUUAACUUAGUGGCGAACGGGUGAGUAACGCGUGAGAAACCUGCCUUUCAGUGGGGGACAACAGUUGGAAACGACUGCUAAUACCGCAUAAUGUUGCGAGAGGGCAUCCUCUUGCAACCAAAGCUUUAUGUGCUGAAAGAUGGUCUCGCGUCUGAUUAGCUAGUUGGUGAGGUAACGGCUCACCAAGGCGACGAUCAGUAGCCGGUCUGAGAGGAUGAACGGCCACAUUGGGACUGAGAUACGGCCCAG
RNAcentral lists this ribosomal RNA (306 nucleotides) under uncultured bacterium. RNAcentral's name for it is "bacterial SSU rRNA". It matches the Rfam family "Bacterial small subunit ribosomal RNA", at positions 28 to 334 of the family's 1533-position model. The record is from RNAcentral.